Molecule: transfer RNA, 71 nt
Filed under: Propionimicrobium lymphophilum ACS-093-V-SCH5
Lineage: Bacteria; Bacillati; Actinomycetota; Actinomycetes; Propionibacteriales; Propionibacteriaceae
Rfam family: tRNA
About the family: Transfer RNA (tRNA) molecules are approximately 80 nucleotides in length. Their secondary structure includes four short double-helical elements and three loops (D, anti-codon, and T loops).
Source: Rfam by way of RNAcentral
UGGGGUAUGGGGUAAUGGUAGCCCGACGGUUUCUGGUUCCGUUAGUCUAGGUUCGAGUCCUAGUACCCCAA